RNAcentral lists this transfer RNA (85 nucleotides) under Felis catus (domestic cat). It matches the Rfam family "tRNA". From Rfam's summary of the family: Transfer RNA (tRNA) molecules are approximately 80 nucleotides in length. Their secondary structure includes four short double-helical elements and three loops (D, anti-codon, and T loops). Further hydrogen bonds mediate the characteristic L-shaped molecular structure. tRNAs have two regions of fundamental functional importance: the anti-codon, which is responsible for specific mRNA codon recognition, and the 3' end, to which the tRNAs corresponding amino acid is attached (by aminoacyl-tRNA synthetases). tRNAs cope with the degeneracy of the genetic code in two manners: having more than one tRNA (with a specific anti-codon) for a particular amino acid; and 'wobble' base-pairing, i.e. permitting non-standard base-pairing at the 3rd anti-codon position. The record is from Rfam by way of RNAcentral. Lineage: Eukaryota; Metazoa; Chordata; Mammalia; Carnivora; Felidae.
ACCUGGGUGGCUCAGUCGGUUGAGCGUCCGACUUUGGCUCAGGUCAUGAUCUCACAGUUCGUGAGUUCAAGCCCCACCUCAGGCU